Molecule: unclassified non-coding RNA, 395 nt
Filed under: soil metagenome
Description: partial contains 5.8S ribosomal RNA, internal transcribed spacer 2, and large subunit ribosomal RNA
Rfam family: 5.8S ribosomal RNA (bases 1-121)
Source: RNAcentral
GAUGAAGAACGCAGCGAACGUGCGAAACGUAAUGUGAAUUGCAGAAUUCAGUGAACCAUCGAAUCUUUGAACGCAUCUUGCGCUCCUUGGUAUUCCGAGGAGCAUGCCUGUUUGAGUGUCGUGAAUACUCUCAACUUCAACCCUUUUUUCGGAAAGGGAGGAAGGUUGGACUUGGGUGUUUGUUGAAGUGCGAGCUUCGACUCAUCCUAAAUGCAUUAGCGAUCUGCCUCGAUCACACACAAUGUGAUAAUUAAAACUAAAGCAUUGUUUAAUGAUCAAGUCGAGACUGCUUCUAACUGUCGCAAGACAAUAACGUGCAUACAUUUGUGCAUGUCAUUUGACCUCAAAUCAGGUAGGACUACCCGCUGAACUUAAGCAUAUCGAUAAGCGGAGGA